Molecule: ribosomal RNA, 225 nt
Filed under: uncultured bacterium
Lineage: Bacteria
Description: partial 16S ribosomal RNA
Rfam family: Bacterial small subunit ribosomal RNA
Source: RNAcentral
CUUAGUGGCGGACGGGUGAGUAACGCGUGAGAAUCUGCCUUCAGGACGGAGACAACAGUUGGAAACGACUGCUAAGCCCCGAUGAACCGAAAGGGAAAAUAUUUAUAGCCUGAAGAUGAGCUCGCGUCCGAUUAGCUAGUUGGCGGAGUAAAAGCCCACCAAGGCGACGAUCGGUAGCUGGUCUGAGAGGACGAUCAGCCAUACUGGGACUGAGACACGGCCCAG